GCACGUUGUAUGGAUGAUUUCCUUUGUUCGAUAGGAAUGGAAUCAAGGAGGCUGAGAGAGAGAUCGGAUUGUGUUUGCAAUUUCGAGAUUUUGUCAAGCGGAUUUGACGGGAAAUAGGUGUCCCGAAGAGCAUAGAGAUCAUCCGCUGCUCUUGCGACUGUUGCCCAUAAAUCUUCUCCGUCUUGGCUACCGCCACCAGUGCUCAUUUCCCUCGCUCUCUCCACUACCGUGUAGGAAUGAUCGCUAGACGAGGAGACUCGUAG
Molecule: unclassified non-coding RNA, 263 nt
Filed under: Hevea brasiliensis (rubber tree)
Lineage: Eukaryota; Viridiplantae; Streptophyta; Magnoliopsida; Malpighiales; Euphorbiaceae
Source: RNAcentral